RNAcentral lists this ribosomal RNA (440 nucleotides) under uncultured soil bacterium. RNAcentral's name for it is "bacterial SSU rRNA". It matches the Rfam family "Bacterial small subunit ribosomal RNA", at positions 26 to 518 of the family's 1533-position model. The record is from RNAcentral.
AGAACGAACGCUGGCGGCAUGCCUAAUACAUGCAAGUCGAACGAAGGCUUCGGCCUUAGUGGCGCACGGGUGCGUAACGCGUGGGAAUCUGCCCCUUGGUUCGGAAUAACAGUUGGAAACGACUGCUAAUACCGGAUGAUGACGAAAGUCCAAAGAUUUAUCGCCAAGGGAUGAGCCCGCGUAGGAUUAGCUAGUUGGUGAGGUAAAGGCUCACCAAGGCGACGAUCCUUAGCUGGUCUGAGAGGAUGAUCAGCCACACUGGGACUGAGACACGGCCCAGACUCCUACGGGAGCAGCAGUAGGGAAUAUGGACAAUGGGCGAAAGCCUGAUCCAGCAAUGCCGCGUGAGUGAUGAAGGCCUUAGGUGUAAAGCUCUUUACCGAGAUGAUAAUGACAGUAUCGGAGAAUAAGCCCCGGAUAACUCCGUGCCAGCAGCCGAC